ACGUACACUCCUGCGGGAGGCAGCAGUGGGGAAUAUUGGACAAUGGGCGCAAGCCUGAUCCAGCCAUGCCGCGUGAGUGAUGAAGGCCCUAGGGUUGUAAAGCUCUUUCACCGGUGAAGAUAAUGACGGUAACCGGAGAAGAAGCCCCGGCUAACUUCGUGCCAGCAGCCGCGGUAAUACGAAGGGGGCUAGCGUUGUUCGGAUUUACUGGGCGUAAAGCGCACGUAGGCGGACUAUUAAGUCAGGGGUGAAAUCCCGGGGCUCAACCCCGGAACUGCCUUUGAUACUGGUAGUCUUGAGUUCGAGAGAGGUGAGUGGAAUUCCGAGUGUAGAGGUGAAAUUCGUAGAUAUUCGGAGGAACACCAGUGGCGAAGGCGGCUCACUGGCUCGAUACUGACGCUGAGGUGCGAAAGCGUGGGGAGCAAACAGGAUGAGAUACCCCAGUAGUCCCA
Molecule: ribosomal RNA, 452 nt
Filed under: uncultured organism
Description: partial 16S ribosomal RNA
Rfam family: Bacterial small subunit ribosomal RNA
Source: RNAcentral